Molecule: long non-coding RNA, 1179 nt
Filed under: Sorghum bicolor (sorghum)
Lineage: Eukaryota; Viridiplantae; Streptophyta; Magnoliopsida; Poales; Poaceae
Description: long non-coding RNA (SBIC_LNC008608)
Source: RNAcentral
AGUUUAGAGUAAUCAUUGCUAGCGUAAACGUGGUGUUUGGGCUAGGGUACUCAUAGAUAUCCCCUGACUAGCUGGACCGUGGUAGUAGCGAGGAACGUGACAUUUCCGAGUUACCUUUGCAUCCCACAUCUUGUUAGCAGGAUGGUAGGGUUUAUAGGUGCGGGUCGAACAUCCUUUGUGGUGUCUAGAUUUCGUAAGCUUCCCCAAUAGAACAGUAGAUCAUCCUUACCAAGAUUAGAACGAGACUACGGUUGCAGUCUUCUCUAUAAAUCGCUGACAUCGAGAAACAUUCUUUGUAGCCUAAAUGGUAGUAGCAAUAGAUUUGGUUAGUCAGAUGCACGCUUUCUCCCAGUGGUAAAAAUAUAAAUACGAUACUCUGGAUAACCUCCCGGGUGAAAUGCUCACCGAUAUCCGUGCGCUUGCGGAUCAUUUCCAGAUGGCGUUACCAAAUAUCAACAAACAUUUCUGGCGCCGUUGCCGGGGAGAAAGACGGUUUGCUGAGAUAACUUUGAGUCUUGCUAUUAUCUUGUAUUAUACUUUUAUUCUUUUAUUCUUUUAUCUUUUUAUUUUUUCCAUCUUUAUGGAUAACUAAAAUUCCACACCUAUUAUUGAAUUUUUUGCACCUUCGGAGACGAGCCAUAGACCAUGGGAGUUAACAAGUCCUUUCUUUGCCCCUAAUUAUGAUCUGUGUCCGGAGUUGAUUGCAAUAGGUCAAAACCAACCCUUUUCUAUAGCCGAGGUCCUAUCUUUUAAUCAAGAAGAUAAUGAACUUUUAGCUACACCUAGGGAAUCUGUUAAUCUUUCUAUAAAUUUUGGUUUAAACCUAGCCCUACAAGACCAUGUUUUUCCUCGAUAUUUUCACAUUGGUCUUAAUCAUAUAACCUUUGGUAGAGUUUUUCUUUCUUUAUCUAUUAGUAAAGGAAGGUAUGUCUUCAUUCGUGGACAUCCUUCUUGCACUAGUCUUCAUAAAAAAUUCCUAGAGAUAGAGAAGGAAUCAUCUUUCAGACAAGGAAAGGAAGUUUCAAUAGCCGAUUUCCAAACAUUUCAAUCCCAUGAUUCAGCUAUCCAACCCAUCCUUGAGCUUAAUAAUUUCUACUAUGCUCUUUCUCUUGAACCUCCCGAUGAUCCUAUGAAUCUCUCUAGACAUCUCAUUCAUAAGAGUCACCAAGACCACAAGGA